Molecule: ribosomal RNA, 518 nt
Filed under: uncultured bacterium
Lineage: Bacteria
Description: bacterial SSU rRNA
Rfam family: Bacterial small subunit ribosomal RNA
Source: RNAcentral
GAUGAACGCUAGCGGCAGGCCUAACACAUGUAAGUCGAGGGGCAUCAUGGCGUAGCAAUACGCUGAUGGCGACCGGCGCACGGGUGCGUAACGCGUAUGGAACCUACCCACCGCAGGGGGAUAACCCGCCGAAAGGCGGACUAAUACCCCAUGGUUCCCCGACCCUGCCUGGGGUUGGGGGUAAAGCCUACGGGCGGCGGUGGAUGGCCCUGCGUGCCAUUAGCUGGCUGGUGGGGUAAAGGCCUACCAAGGCGACGAUCAGUAGCUGGUCUGAGAGGACGACCAGCCACACUGGGACUGAGACACGGCCCAGACUCCUACGGGAGGCAGCAGUGGGGAAUUUUGGACAAUGGGCGAAAGCCUGAUCCAGCCAUGCCGCGUGAGUGAAGAAGGCCCUCGGGUUGUAAAGCUCUUUUGUCCGGAAGAAAAGCGCCGGGUUAAUACCCUGGUGUCCUGACGGUACCGGAGAAUAAGCACCGGCUAACUUCGUGCCAGCAGCCGCGGUAAGCAUACUCGUA